GUCCCCGUAGCUCAACUGGACAGAGCGUCGGCCUCCGGAGCCGAAGGUUGCAGGUUCGAGUCCUGCCGGGGAUA
RNAcentral lists this transfer RNA (74 nucleotides) under Planctomycetota bacterium. Its description in RNAcentral is "tRNA-Arg". It matches the Rfam family "tRNA". Rfam says of the family: Transfer RNA (tRNA) molecules are approximately 80 nucleotides in length. Lineage: Bacteria; Pseudomonadati; Planctomycetota. The record is from RNAcentral. RNAcentral also lists the same sequence under 3 other names.